AAGGGCCCCCCUCUCAGAUGGGAGAAGGGCCCCAUACCCCCUGCAUUCUGGGCCAUGGGGCUUCAGGAGAGUCAGCAUAUGGACUGGAGGGAUGUCUGCGCUGUGGGGCAAAGGUGCAGUCAGAGAGGGAAUGGAAACUAUGCUUGUGUUGGUUCACCCACUCUGCUGUUGAGCUUUCCCAAGACGCUGGAUCCUCAGCACCUUUGUCUUCACCUCCUGAGUCUCCUUCAUCUACCUCCUGUCUCCCUUAGUCCAGCCAGUGAAACAGAAUGUAGGGAGGGUGCCAUUCCAGGAUGAGAUCUAGUGGAACAGGUCCCUGGGAGCCUCUUCUGGGACUCCUUAACCUUGGGAACCCUUCGCCCCUCUCUCUUGGGCCCCAGGUAAGGGUACCAGUUUCUUCCUGAGCCAUGACCAGAGCCAUUCCCAGAUAAAUGAGGUUUCCUGGAAGGAUGUUACCAGUGCCUUAUCUCUGGCCAACAUGGUGCUGGGGCUCUUCUCCAUCAUCUUCAGCUUCAGCAGGAAACGCCACUAUGCCUCCUGGAUGCUCCUGGUCAGCUUCCUGUUAGACAUGGCGGUCAGGGCAAUGACCAGCCACAUCAACAUCUGCUCCAAAUUGGGUGAGUUCAGGCCCCAGGUCCCUAAUCCUUGCCCCCAGUAGCAUCCAUCUGGGGUCACCCCUUCAUCCAUCCUCUAACAUCCCGCAGGCC
This 707-nucleotide long non-coding RNA is filed under the name Pan troglodytes (chimpanzee). RNAcentral's name for it is "long non-coding RNA NONPTRT000216". The record is from RNAcentral. Lineage: Eukaryota; Metazoa; Chordata; Mammalia; Primates; Hominidae.